RNAcentral lists this long non-coding RNA (4665 nucleotides) under Mytilus galloprovincialis (Mediterranean mussel). Lineage: Eukaryota; Metazoa; Mollusca; Bivalvia; Mytilida; Mytilidae. The record is from RNAcentral.
GUUGUUUACUGAAUUCUUACAAAAUCAGUUGCCGCUAAUUUCAUAGUUUAAAGAGAUUGAUGCAUGCGGAAGGCAAUUUUUAAACGCAUUAAGAACCAACAUGAUUCGGUCAUAACGCUUACGAAAAACGAAUGUAAAUGUUAUGAAUCUGUAUGAAACAUGAGACCAAUCAAAUUGGAGUCCAAGACAUAUACAAUGUACAUGUACGUUUAGUACUUGCACUAAUUUUCAUUAAAAUACAAAAAAAAAUGAUUGACAAAAUAUAUACAUGCUAUACUAAAUUGAGGUUAGAGACUCAUGCAACUGUAUGAAUUUUUUAUUUAUGUCUCUAGCAUUGAGGGAGGUACAUUUGUUGUAAUUUAUACAAACAGUAAAAACAUAAGAAAAGAUAACACAUUCCAUUGGAAUCUUAAUGGCCAAAUCCAGAAGCUUUCUGACCUUGCCAAAUAUUGAAAGUAUUAAUAGUAAACCCCAAGUUCAAUUUUUUGUCACUGCGUAAUUCUGAUUUUUUUUUCAUUAAUUUAAUAUGAAUAUGCCUUGCCUCGUAUACUGCAAUACAAAAGUCCUCACGGUAUGAUCUUUUAAAAGGCUAUAUUAGUUUUGGUUGCCUUACCACUACAAAAAGAAUGGCCGUGAUGUGUAUCUCUGAAUGAUCAACAAUGGUUUGAUUUUUGAUGCGUUUUAUUAUUUGAUUUUGCUAUGUGAUUAUAUACUUUCCGAAUUGAUUUUCCUCUAAGUUCAGUAUUUUUGUGAUUUUACCUUUGACAUGUGAAAUGGAACAAAUAAUAUCAUGUUUUUGCACUAUGAUUUUGAACUACUGUACAUUUAUAUUAAUUAAAUAUAGAUCAAUAAAAGACACCAUACAUGCCUUAUAAUCAUUGUUUAAUAAAGGAAGAAUAUUAACGUGUACCUAAUAGUACUGCAACCAGAGUUCAUUUUUUAAAACUUUAAUGGUCCGGAAGAACACACACCUAAAUUAUAUAUCGAUGGAAAGAGGACAACGUGUACAAUAAGAAAAGUUGGGUCGUAAAAAUCCAGAGUGGUCACAAUUUUGUGAAAUUGAGGUCAAAGGUCAGACCUAAAAAUAUCAAUAUUUCAAACACAAGAACAAAAAGGAGAAAUAUUCUGAUAUUCAUUCAAUAGAAUGCUACAAAAACGAUUCAAUCAUAAGCACAUGCUAUAAACGAUGUUAAAACGACAAAUUUGACUAAUUAUAUGAAGAGCUGCCAUUACAAAAUGGCGUUGAUUUGGAACCUUCUAAUUUUUUUCCAUUUAAGACAUAGCAAAAGAAGAAGUGGCCUUGACCUUUUCACAUCCAUAAACUUUCAUAUUGUGUAUAGUAUUUCACUAUAGUAUAUUACAGAAUUAUUUUCUAAAGUAUAAAAACCAGUUUAUCAAUUAUUUCAAUAUUUUUUCUAUCUUUGAAAAAAACAAAUUUAACCGCUGAAACAGUGUUUUUAAUUUUGCAUCUUAAAGGUUGUGUAUUUUGUGAAAAUUAGUAUCUAGUUAUAGAUAAAUACAUAUUGUGUAUUUGCAAAGUCUGGACAGAGCAUUAAUAACACAAGAUAUACUAUAGUCACCCUAGGCGAAUGCGAGGUUUUAAAAAAAAUUGAGUGUAAAAACAAAGUCAGUUUGGUACAUGAACAUUUUUUAGUAGGAUAAUCCUGGUAAAAAAGUUAACUCAUUGAUUUUUUAAGGGAAGGAUGAAAAAUUAUACAAUGCAAUGCCAAUUUUCUAAUGUUGUAAUUCAAAUUCAGUCAUGAUCCUUAUAUAACUUUUAUAAGCGACACACAAUAGCUCAAGUAUUAAUAGAAUAGGGACAUGAAUCAAUCUCUUAGUCAUCAUAUGCGGAUUCAGUACUCGUAUUAGCAUUACAAGACACUUCCCUUUUUUAUAAGAACAAGUUCGGCGCAUGACAGAGUUUGUUCAAAUCAAAUACAGUUUUUUUUAGUACAAAUGCUAUCUGGAGCGUAAAUACCGUCAUGAUUUGGUCAAACUCGUCAGAUAUAGUCUUCCCUUUGCAUAGGAAACACAAAAGAAAUGUGAGUACAAAGUUUCGAUCAAUGUUCGUGGCCCAUAUUCCCAUAUGCAUAUGCAUGAUGUAUCUGCACUGCCAGUCCCAAAUGUAAAGGGGCGAAUGUUGCUACAGAAACGAUUGAUUUUGUAAUAGCCAUACAUUUACGAAUUUUUGUUAUCUUUAGGGACAAUAUACGGUUAUUUUUCAUCGAUUAACUAUCAAAUGAACUUUUGAGCCUAGGCUCUGUGUUGAAGACCGGACCGUGACCUAUAAUGGUUUACUUUUAUAAUUGUGACUUGGAUGGUGUGUUGUAUCAUUGGCACUCAUACCACAUCUUCCUAUAUCUAUUAACAAGCUAUGCGGGCAUCAUUUCCAUAGAAAUACCAAAACAAGGACAUAGCUCAUUAGACCACUGGUGUAAUUCUGAAAGUCUUAAUAUAGACUUCAAUUUUCCUGCAGCAGAUAUGGCAUCCCUAAAUUGAGUUCAGAGCUAAACUCUAUAUUCAUAUCCCUUGGCCCACUGUGUCUGAAUUGUAAGGUGUCACAAUAUUUAGUUAGUUCUGGAGUUUGGCAGUUUGGUAAGCAUCAGAGACAAUCUUGGGUAAAAUUGAUCGGUAUAUAUAGAGGAUGUGCUACAUGAGAAAGGCUUUUUCUUAUGAAAAAACAAAUCACAUUACUAACAAUCGUUAUUAAUGAACUGACAGCAAGUUCAAAUUCUAUUUUUUCAGUGAUUGUUUUACUUAAUUGCACAGGUGUUGACUUCAAUAAGUACUUGGUAAUGCAUGGAUAAAUGAUUACUCACAUUAAUAAGCACAACUUAAAAGACUGUUAACACGUUUAGAGGACUCAGUUUUGCGUAGUUUUCUGUUUUUUUUAAAGGUUUUUCUUUUACACAAAAACCCUGUUUUCAUAUCCAAACUACAAGGAAGAAACUGAGCGCGAAAUCGUAUAAAAGUGUCAGGUUGUGAGGUUACAUGUCGAUCAGUUUGAUCACAUAUAUGGAUUUCUGUUGUUUCUAAUUUAAAGUUCCCCAAGGGUGACUGGGGAAACGAAAUAUGGUCACUUGGUCUUCCCCCGACCGGCAGUAAAACGAAGUUGGGCGUCCGUUUGGCUGUACGGGAUGUAUCAAGUUCGCAGUCACGUCCGGUCAGAAUGGGGACGUUAAAUCCGCUGCCUCAUGUAAAGGGAGUGUCACGUUCUUUGCACGUUAAAAACCUUUGCAUCAACUCUUUAAGGGGUCCGUAGGUGGCAUGUUGCAAUGGAAAAUUUCUGUCCCAAUCCAAUAUCCCAUCAUUUUCCAGUGGCAGUCUAAAUAUUCCCGAUCAUCAUUUCGAAUGGCCUCUACUAUGACAAAACCUACCUAUUGUUUUUAUUGUUAGCUUGUUCUCGUCCUGAACAUGCAUGAAAUAUUUGCCACUGGACUUUACGCAACCAACAAUCAAUCAAUCAAUUUAAUUUAAAGACGCACCAAUUUUGCCGUCUGGUGCAAGUCUCAUAACAUCACUGAUGAUUCGCCCACGGAAAGCAGAAUAUCAAGAGAAGUUGGUUUUAGCAAUACCUUGCCACACACCAAAUCUCUGCGAAACUUCAAUAGUACUUUCCCCCCGACCGCUUGCAUGCAUAUUAAUUGCUCUGAGGUUAAACAUUGACAUACAAUGUAUUUUCACACAAUGUCAACUAUAGUCAUUAUCCGGAAAAACCUCUUAUCCGAAGGAUUUGGUUAACUUUUAUAUAAAGUCAAAAUUUUAUCAACAAAAAUAUAACUUAUUUACAGAAAAUACACGAAAGAACUACUAUAUAUAUUCAAAUCACUCAAAAAUAAAUUAACUUCUCCUACAAAAUCUACAUAAUCACAUCGAAAUUAUCAAAUUGAUUGUGAAUGAAAAAAUAAAUGGUGGAGCUGAUUGACGGAUAGGAAAUUUCCGUAAUUAAAAAAGGUACAAAUGAUGUUUUUAUUUUUGAGUUUUUGACAAAAUUGUUUGGAAUGUGCCCAACAAAAUUUGCAUGCAGUAUCGCAAUAAUAUGUUGUGUCCUCUCAAAUGUCAAAUACUGUUUUUGAAUCAUAUGUUUUCUCGUUUUCAAAGAAAAACGCGUUAAAUUUCUAUCUAAAAAACAGCCAACUUUAAGUUUAAGUUUUACUUGGAAAUGGUAUAAUAUUUAUGUCUUCAUCAUACCGAUGAUCCUUGAUGAUAUGUGCAUAGAAAAUAUUUACGAAAAUAGCGGGAAAUUUAACCAAAAAUAUUUUUUGGAUUUUAAGGUAACUACUCAAAACCGUAAAUUGAGGGGUACCCCCAUUAAAGGGAUAAAAUACAAAAAUGUGACCAUAGAAACUUUUUACGACCCGACGGAAAUUAAAAUAUAGAUAUUAUUCUAUCAUUUAAAACAAUUUGCAGCCGUGUGUUAUUCCGGACCAUUAAACUCGUUAACUAAGCGUCUUUUUCGAUGUCAGUUGCAGUACUAUAAAUGGGUCUGUGUUUAAUUUCUUUAAAGAUACAAACACAUUCACUAGUAACUUAAAAGUCUGAUAAGCAUGGCUUUGAAUCAGCCUCAACAUUAUCACGAAUAGUAAAUUUCAACAUUGGAAAAACUGACAAAAAGCCAUCCUAUAGGCAGCUUCUAAUACUACAUUUGUGAAAAAAGUAAUAAAC